RNAcentral lists this ribosomal RNA (253 nucleotides) under uncultured bacterium. RNAcentral's name for it is "partial 16S ribosomal RNA". It matches the Rfam family "Bacterial small subunit ribosomal RNA", at positions 524 to 776 of the family's 1533-position model. The record is from RNAcentral.
GACGUAGGGCGCGAGCGUUGUCCGGAUUUAUUGGGCGUAAAGAGCUCGUAGGCGGCUUGUCGCGUCGAAUGUGAAAUCUCAGGGCUCAACCCUGACAUUGCAUUCGAUACGGGCAGGCUUGAGUUCGGUAGGGGAGACUGGAAUUCCUGGUGUAGCGGUGAAAUGCGCAGAUAUCAGGAGGAACACCGGUGGCGAAGGCGGCUUCCUGGACCGACACUGACGCUGAGGCGCGAAAGCUAGGGGAGCAAACGGG